AGAAAAUUUCGAAUUGAAAUAAAAUUGCCUCAUCAAAAAUACAAAAAUAGAAAAGAAUAUAAAAUCUUAAUUAAGAUCUCCAGAUAACUGUGUACUCCAUUAAACGAAAUCAUCAAGCGUACAAUGAAGAGCGAUCCCCAACCCUGGUAUAAAUAAUAAAUAAUUGCCUCAAGUCCUAGAGUAAAAAAGUAAAAAAUUAAAUGUCACGAGACCAAUAACAAGACACGCCCCAUUUGCUCGUCCGUCUCGACGUAUUAUCCCUUAAAAACAAUUCCUAGAUAAUUUCAAUGAUGUAUUUUCAAGAACAGGGGUCAUUCGUGAGGUGUUGAGGUCAUUGAAAGAAAAAAAUAUUUCUCAAGUAUUACGUAAUACUGGCUUUUACCAUUGCAUACUUGGUUGCUUAUAACCUCAAACUUUGUGAAGAGAGUGCAUUGGCCCCAAGCCCAACAUUUAUUAUAAAUUCUUUCAUUUUUUUUUCCCUUGCCACAUGUCCAAUUGUCAUAAACUAUUCUCGAUGGUCUAUAGUUGAAGUUGUCUUGACUCUCGCAAACUCCAACACGCAUAUCGAUUCGACCUCGUGCACUCUCGAUACAUUUCUUGGAUUAUUCAUUUUCCAAUCCUUGAAAUUGAACGACUUCAUGAUAUCCCCAGGUGAAUGAUGAAAUAGAAACAGCAGAUGAUGAUGAUGAUUAUGCAAUGAAUUGUCAAUCGAUAAUUGAUGAUACGGGGCCAUUCUCUUGACGAUUGAAAAGCAAAUGAGGAAUAAAAAAAGUGUUAAUUGGAGAUAAUGGAGUGGUGGAGUGGUGAGUGGUGCAAAGUUCAUUCUGAAUGAGCGAUUGAACUGAGGGCAAAGGCUGGAGAGAUGAUUUUUCGAUGGUUUAAGACAGUGCUCGAAAAAAAGAGGAAUUCUCUUUAGGAUCAUGAAGGCGGUCGUCGAUCCUAAGAGGCUGUGACGUAAUGGAAAAACGAAAAAGAAAAAUCGAGAAAACGUGCGAGCCAUCCUCAGGGGAUUGAGUGGAUUAAAGGGAUUAAUUACUGAAUAAGUCAACUCGUCGACGACCAGAAAUUUAUCUACGAGUUAUUGAUAACGAGUGGAUUAUCGAGGAU
Molecule: long non-coding RNA, 1107 nt
Organism: Fopius arisanus
Lineage: Eukaryota; Metazoa; Arthropoda; Insecta; Hymenoptera; Braconidae
Exons: 5
Source: RefSeq, a predicted model, not a curated record